Molecule: unclassified non-coding RNA, 245 nt
Filed under: uncultured fungus
Lineage: Eukaryota; Fungi
Description: partial contains 5.8S ribosomal RNA, internal transcribed spacer 2, and large subunit ribosomal RNA
Rfam family: 5.8S ribosomal RNA (bases 1-52)
Source: RNAcentral
AACGCACAUUGCGCCCUGUGGUAUUCCGCAGGGCAUGCCUGUUCGAGCGUCAUUACACCACUCCAGCCUGGCUGGGUGUUGGGCGUCCGCGGUCCGCCGCGCGCCUCAAUGUCUCUCGGCCGCGCCGACCGUCUCCUAGCGUUGUGGCAUACAUUCCGCUCCGGAGGCCGGCCGUCGCGUCGCCGUCGACCCAAACCUUUCUUCAGGUUGACCUCGGAUCAGGUAGGGAUACCCGCUGAACUUAA